GAAGAUAGAUGAUAUAUAACAUAAGUAGAAAAGUAAAUAUUGCCUCCUACAUUAAUUUUUAUUUACAUCGAUAUUACUCAUACUUACAAAAUAUUUUAAAAGAGAGGCUUUGACAGAAUAUUUGGUGAAAAAUUAUUAAUUAAAAUAUAAAUUAGUAUAAAUUGAGAGGAUUUUAUCUUUAUUUUAUUAAUUUAAGCUAAAAUAAUAAGUGAUUUAUAAUUCUUAACUAUUGUCAUUUUGAUUAUUUUAUAGGAAAGAAGCAUUGGAUUUUCAUGUAGAUCACCAAUCAAGACCCUUUUUCAAUGAGCUGAUCCAGUUUAUUACAACUGGUCCUAUUAUUGCCAUGGAGAUUUUAAGAGAUGAUGCUAUAUGUGAAUGGAAAAGACUGCUGGGACCUGCAAACUCUGGAGUGGCACGCACAGAUGCUCCUGAAAGCAUUAGAGCCCUCUUUGGAACAGAUGGCAUAAGAAAUGCAGCGCAUGGCCCUGA
RNAcentral lists this small RNA (489 nucleotides) under Pongo abelii (Sumatran orangutan). RNAcentral describes it as "retained intron". Lineage: Eukaryota; Metazoa; Chordata; Mammalia; Primates; Hominidae. The record is from RNAcentral.